Molecule: long non-coding RNA, 2952 nt
Organism: Rattus norvegicus (Norway rat)
Lineage: Eukaryota; Metazoa; Chordata; Mammalia; Rodentia; Muridae
Source: RefSeq, a predicted model, not a curated record
CCCCGGGCCGGCUUUUUCUAGGGCUGCUGCGGGCCACUGGGCGCUGGCUGCUCCCGCUCGCCUCUUGGGGUGCGCUCAGCUCCAGCCCAACUCCGCCAACUCCGCCAGCUCCAGCAUCGCUCCAGCCCGAUUCCAGUCCAACUCCAGCCCGGUUCCAGCCCAGUUCCAGCCCGAUUCCAACCCAGCUCCGGCCCGGCUCCGGUUCUCCACCACGCCUCUCUGUCGACGCGACUGAGCAGCUUCGCAGGAAAAUCCCAGAAACCUUUGCAAAAAGCUUACAAUGAAAUUUAAGAAGUUCUACGAUUUCGGCGCCAUUUUCGAGUGGAGUGAGAGGUUGUUUAGUUUUUUCCAGUGUGAAACUCGACAUUGGAAAAGUUUGGCUCCAAGGGUGACCAUCGACUUUUUUCUCCACUGUUCCAUGUCCAUGUAAAAGUGACUUGUAAUAUAGCCAAGAAAAGAUGGAAAUUUUUCGUUUCAACUUAAGGAGUGGGGCUGUUACUAUUAAUAGCUUUAUUUAUCAUGACCUAAGCAAUGCAUUUGUUAGCGCUGGAUCAUAAUCUGUUAUGUUAGGAAUUUUGUACUUAGUUUAACUACAGACUCUGUAUAUUAAUUAAUUAAUCAAUUAAUUAGCAUAAAUUAAAUUAGCAUUCACUGUACUAGUUUUGAAAAACUGACAUAAUUUUAAAUGCAAAUACAGGAAAUUUGGCGACAUUCAAUUUCUGUUUAUGUACACAGAAUGUAUUUUUACUUUCAAAGGCACUAUAGUUUUAUUGUUUUAGUUAUUAGGUCUGUGGUUAAGGACUAAAGAAUGUUUUUGUGCUUUCUUGAAUGCUUUGUUUAAAGAAGGAAAUGAAUCAAUGUAACUUGUUUCUCACGUGUGUCCAUUUUGAAAAGCAACAGUGGGAGCUAAGGAGUUAAUCACUAAGGAGCAUGCACAGUGCCGGCCAUUUCAAGACAUGCAGAUUUUGGUGGAGUUGCUUAAGAAGGAAUGAUUUGUAUCUAACAUCAAGGAUGUCAUUUACUUAAAGUUCUUGAUUUGUGAUUUGAUGUUGAUGAUGAUAAAUGUAAAUUUAUAUAUAAAUAAGCUUGAAUAGCCAGCAGUGUAUGAGAACAUCCAGGGGUUUCUCAUGCUUUGUCCUUAAAAAUAACUAAAGACAAGAUGUUUACUGUAAGAAUGCAAGUCUAUCCCAUGCCUAUAGUAUUAGUAAAACCAACUGGGACUACCCAGAGGGAUUUUUUUUUUGAUUAUCGAAAUUUCCUUGCAUUGAUUUCCAAUAAAUAACCAAAACCCGGGUCAAUAAAUGAAACUUAUACAAGGUAGCAGGAUGUUUCAGCAAGACUUUGGAGCUGGCAAGAGUGAUCCAGAUGUUGCCAAAUUGUCUCAGUUUAUUUAAUCCCACUUUUCAUCUGCUAUCAGAGGUAAGCGUCUCCCCCACCCCACUAUCUGCCAUAACCCUGCUUUCCACCAACACACCCUUUGCCUCACCAGCAGAUCCUGGAAAUCAAGCAAAUUUUUAAGAAGUAUUAGCUUACAAGGAGUCCACCAACUUGGAGUGCUAUGUCCUAAGAGGCGAAACAUUGUAAUUCUCACCAAGGGGCAGGGCAAACAGGGACUCCCUUCUACUCACAGAGACUUUCUUCAUUCGCAGGUACCCCAGAGCGGCCCCCACCCUCGCUGACUCCGAAGGGAUGCAGCAGCAAUUCAUGUUUUGGAGUAUUGCCAAGGUUCAAAACAUGAAGCGCUGCAACACCCCUUCGUGGGAAAUAGAGAGGUGGGGUCCUGCACAACAGACCUGUGUGGGUUCUACUAAAGCAGGUAGGUGGGAGGGGGCGUGUCUAUCUCGUCAGUCCAGCCUUACUCUGGCAGGGCCUUAGUGUAGGGAGGGUAUCUCUACACAGUUCAAGGGCCAGGGUGGGGGUGACUGCAUAGCAAGCACUUGAAGAAGGGACAAGGUAUCCUGAACUCAGCCCACCACACCCAGUCGUGCCCUAGCAGCGGGAACAGUACUGCAGUGAGUGUUUGGUGCCCUGGAGUAUUGUUUCCGCUGCCUGGGUAAGUCUGGGACUUCCACAUGGGCACACCCACCAGGUAAGUUUCAGUGCAUCACCUACAGCCUAGGCCCCAAUGGGAGGGAGACUCUAGAACAGCCCCAAAUUAGAGUUGCCUAUCUGUGAAUAUGUGACUGGGUAUGACAGCAACUUUGUUCUUAGCACUUCACUCACUGCCCAGGUAAAAGUGAACCGACUAGGAAAAAAAGCACUUCCUGAUCACCUAGUAGACACAAGACAAAACCAAGAAAGUUUGCCUUAAGUCCUCAGCAACAAAAUGGGGAGGGGUCCCCCAAAAGGAAUAAGAAAUGUUCUGGAGGUGGCCAGGAAGGGCAACUUGAGGCAAUUCCCAUUUCUCUCUGCAGUUCCCACUUAGGGCCAGCAUGGAAAGGACUUUAGAGGUUAGCAAAAAUUAAGGGGUUCAUGGGAGUAUCCCUGGAUCUCUUCAUGCCUUGCUGGUGGGGAACCCCAGUUGGUACACUGUGAAGCAAUGGUCCAAACAGGAAGCCCCAGGCUCUGCAUUUCUAGUUCCUUUUUAUCCUCCUUUCCCAAAGUCAUAACACAAUUCUACCAUGGCGGUGGGGACAUGGGGAGACCCUUGUCACUGCCUAGAAGCCUCUGAGAAAAUGGCCGCCUUGUGACAUCCCAAACUCUGCCGUGACUAAUCAUGGCACCUCCAUUUCCCUGAGGAGCCCUUUGAGCCUGAGGUGAAAAAAAAACAGGUCAAGAGGCGCCUGGGAACUGGAGAAGAGUAUUAACUUCUGGAGCAAGACCUUAUUUUUCCUGUGAAAAUCACUUUACAUAAUCUGGAGUAUGGGCAUGUAAAGGACUAUUGGAAAAUGAGUGUGGAUGAAAUCAUGCUUCUUUGUCUUAUUAAAAAGAAAUAAAAUACACGUACACACA